This 2657-nucleotide long non-coding RNA is filed under the name Salmo salar (Atlantic salmon). RNAcentral describes it as "lncRNA (ENSSSAG00000118603.1)". Lineage: Eukaryota; Metazoa; Chordata; Actinopteri; Salmoniformes; Salmonidae. The record is from RNAcentral.
GCAAAGGUGAAAAGGAUGUGCUGCUUACCGGCAGUAGGGAAAAUUCCCUGGAAAACUAUGAGAGCCAUCCUUUGAAGAGUGAGUGGUUGUAUGUUUGUGUGAAAGGGUGUGGGUGAUUAUGAUUCAACUUUUCACUAAGGAACAUAACACAUGGAGUGCUGGAAGCAGUGGAGUGAGCUGGGCAUGUGGCUAUCCGCCAGGCUUCCAAGGUGCAUGGUGUACCUCGGCAGACACUGGCGGACAGGCUGAGCGGUCGGGUGACUCAUGGUUGUCACAAAAAAGGAGCACAGUUCUGGUGCAGAACUGUGUCUACAGCGCCAGCCAUGGGUUCCCCUUCACCAGACAGAGGCUGAUGAAAUAUGCUGACAAAAUACGCAGGUUUAGGCACCCAGGGGAAACAAUCCCACCACUGGGGAAGAGGUGGUGGGAAAUGUUUAGGAGGAGGCACAAGAACCUGAGCAUGAGGAGGCCGGACACCCUGGACAGGGGGAGAGCUGAGUAUGCCACACGUCCAACGAUGGACACCUUCUUCACUUAUGAGAAUCACUUGGAGGAGAGUGGGUUGAGGGAGAAACCCAGACAAAUCUAUAACUGCGAUGAGUCUGGAUUUUGUAGUGACCAGAGCAGGCACAAGUACUGGUUCCCCAGGGAGCAAAACACGUGUACCUGCAGGCUCCGGGGACCAAGGAGCACAUCACAGUGCUGGCCUGCUUGGAUGUCCCCACGUUUAUCAUCUACCCCAAGUGUUUCCCCAGUGGCCACUACACACUGGGAGGCCCCCCUCUCCCGAAGCCUUGUAUGGACGGUCAAACAGUGGCUACAUUGAUGGGGACCUGUUCAGGAAGUGGUUUUCAGCACUUCAUUAAGCAUGCAGUGAAGGAGCGCCCUCUCCUUCUCCUCUUUGAUGGGCACAAGAGCCACAUGGAACCGGAGGUGCUCGCGGCGAAGGGGUUAUACUAUAUUGUCUUCCACCACACUGCACCCAUGUCCUGCAGCCGCUGGAUGUGGCAUACUUUGGCCCUUAAAAGGCUGAGUUCUCCAAGGUAGCUAGAGGCCUUAGCCAUUUUGACAACUCCUACAUGGUAAACAAAUCAGAAUUUUCCAGAGUAUUCCGCUACCCGUACCAGUGCUUCAAGGACAUGUGCUAUGUGGUGGAAGGGUUUAAGAAGUAUGACCUGUUCCUUUUUGACCCUUCAGCCAUUGAAGGGUCCCGUUUAAUGCCGUAUCGGUCCCUACCGGGUCCCACCACCACCUCUCCUGGAACCAGCAGUACUGUGCCGUCCAUCAGCACCUCCUCCCCAGUGACCACAUGAGGACCCUCAGCCCAUGUUCCAGUCCCAGUCCCUGCUCCAGUCUCAGCUCUAGUCCUAGCUCUAGAAGAGCACCCUCUAAUAGAGGGGGGGCUGAUAGCGAAGGACCUGGGGCACAUCCUUACUGUCCUGAAGUAUCGGCUAGACCGAAACAGAAGAUUCCCUAUGGUCGCUACAUGCCUCACCGGGGAGGAAUACACGCGCCAGUGGCAGGAGAGGGAUGAGAAGGAGAGGGCCGAGGCAGAGGAGAAAGAGCUGCCAUGGAUGAGACCAUUGACGCAAUUGCCUCUGCUGGACUCUCAGGACCUGAGCCCUAGGACCAUGCCUCACGACUAUCUGGUCUGAGAACUCCUGGCUGUUCUUUUCCCCAGUCCACCUGGUUGUGCUGCUGGUCCAGUUUCUGCUGUUUUGCCUGUGGCUAUUGAACCCUGACCUGUUCACCGGACGUGCUACCUUAUCCCGGACCUGCUGUUUUUGACUCUCUCUCUCUCUCUCUCUCUCUCUCUCUCUCUCUCUCUCUCUCAACCUCUGAAUGCUCAGCUAUGAAAAGCCAAAUGACAUUUAUUCCUGAGGUGCUGACCUGUUCCACCCUCUACAACCACUGGGAUUAUUAUUUGACCCUGCUGGUCUUUAAUGAACAUUUUAAGAUUUUGAAGUAUGAUCUGGCCUUAAUGGCCAUGUACUCUUAAAAUCUCCAACCGACCACCCUUAGAGUCUGGUUCCUCUCUAGGUUUCUUCCUAGGUUCCUGCUUUCUAGGGAGUUUUUUCUAUCCACCGUUCUCCUACAUCUGCAUUGCUUGCUGUGUGGGGUUUUAGGCUGGGUUUCUGUAUAAGCACUUUGUGACAUCUGUUCAUGUAAAUAGGGCUUCAUAAAUGCAUUUUGAUUUAAUUUCAAAUGGCAUGAAUUAUAUUAUUUUACCAUUUAAAGUGGAACGUUUGAAUAAAUAUAGGCCUACUACCUCUAUAUUCUUAUACUCUAAUUACUAGUUGUACAUUCAUCAACCUUACAGUUUCCGAUGCUCAUGAUACCUGCAUCUGAUGGUCAACGAUGUCAAAUCAUGACGUCAGUAAUCUUCAGGUCGAAAAGUUGGAGCUCUAGAAAGAUGCCCGAGUUUCCGACUUGUAAUUCCGAGUUGGAUGACCAUUCAAAACGAUUUUUCUCAACCGCCUGUCACGGUUCCUGCUCUCUCCUUCCUUUCCUCUGGUGAGACUGACCAGAGAGAGGGGACACCGUCUUCCACCUGAUGGCGAAACUUGAGUCGCACCGCAUCUGCCUCAUGCACAAAUUCAUGUUGUUCCUAUGACCAGAGAAAGUUAAAUAUUCCUUAAUAUUAAAAUCAACACGAC